Long non-coding RNA from Gasterosteus aculeatus aculeatus (three-spined stickleback), 2654 nucleotides. NCBI's taxonomy places the organism in Eukaryota, Metazoa, Chordata, Actinopteri, Perciformes, Gasterosteidae. The record is from Ensembl.
UUGCGUCUUGUGCUGUACGUGCUUGUGCUGUACGUCCUUGUGUGUGUGUGUUUUUUUUUAUUGCCCAAGGAGGGACGUGUUGUCUCCCAGGUCCGGCUCCAGUCAGUACUGCAGUGGAUUAGUCAGCUGCAUUUAGUGCAGAGGCAGAGCAGCAGCUUCGGGGCCGGCGUGCGAGUGUCUGAUCUUCAAGAUGCAGCGCAUCUACAUGCACAGCAAUGAACACUUUGAAGUCUUCACCACUGUCCUUGCUCCUCAAGGUGAGUGGUUGUCAUAUCUGCAGUGAAGGGAAGCUUAGCGCGACCUUAUUUUUCAUUGUUAGUGAGGACAAGAUCACAUCAAUGUCAGAUGACUAACAGCUAAUGUGAUGGAUUGUUGGUUUUCUCUCCUGGUGAUUCAUUUACAGGACAUGGUUGUAUACUCAUGUGGCUGCAUUCAUGUAAAAGAAUUUAUUUUUUGCAUAUAAAAACUUAUUUUUUUGCUGAUUCAUUUCCGUCCAUUGGUUAACAGGGAGGCAUCGGUACAGGGCAGAAGCGGAGACGGCAAGUUAAACUUUCUCCCCUUUUCAGAUACCCAUCAGACAUGCAUUGAUACAAAUGUGUCAUCAAGUAUGUUAGUUGAAUACUAUGCGUCUGUCUUAAACAGCAGGAAUAUAAUCCAAACCAUACUAUUUAGUAUUUGUGUACAUUUUAAAUACACUGCAGAUUGAUUAAAUGGAGUUUGACAUUGACGUUAUGUAAAGUCGGCCAAUUUCCUCCGGUUCUAUUAUGAGAUUUGAAUCAUCUUGUUCUCCUGAAAAACACGGGCGACAUUCAGGAGGAACAUGUAAUGAAGAGUAGAUCCAGAUUUAGGGUCUAUUUCACACUGCACACUACUUAAUCUUUAAAUCUUGACACAUAAUCCUCUCCAAUCACUGCGUCUAACCUUGAGACUGCAGAGAAAACAAACACACACAGACUUGUGCUUUGUAAUCAAUACAACAAAAAAGAACAAUUGCACCUCGUUUAAAUUCACCUCAAAAUCACAAUUCACAGUAAAAAUAAAAAGAAAGAAAAUAAGCUGAGGUUCCGUAACUCUCUCUGUCUGACCACUAGAUGGUAGUAGUGCACAGCUACCGGCCAAACUGGCCCGACGAGCUGGAGCUGUCUCUGGGUGACGUCAUCCUGGUGCUGCCCAAGCGCGAGGAGGAGAGGUGGUACGGGCGGCUGCAGGGCGGCCAGCAGGGAUACUUCCCCGCCUCCUGUGUGAUGGAGCUGAGCCAGGUUGGUUGGCCUCGUGCCGGAUGUGCUCAGCAAUGUGCGCGCGCUGCCGUUUAAUGUCUUCUUAUCGAUAAAGAAAAUAGCGGUGAUGACGUCACAGCAAUGUCAUCAAGCUCUAUUUUAGCCUAAACAAUAGGAAACUAAAAGCCUAAAUUACAUGCGGUUGCGUUUCAAAUAAGUGGGCAUUUACAGCAGGGAGAGUGCAAUGAAAACAGGUAUUGCGUUGCAUUGUGGGAAGUGUAGUACCAUUUGAGCUGGAGUUCUCCAUCUUCAAGAGAGGACGCCAGAGGAAGUCUAAAGUUUAUUUCAUGACAUCUGUUGGACAUUUCUUCAGGCGGAACCUUCCUUCCCAAAGCCCUACGGAGGUCUUUGUCUCUGAGGGGCUCGGCGAGGCGACGACCUCAGGUGUCCGCCGCCGGAAUGGACACAUUGGGCAGGCCCUGCGGAGGGGAAGCAGAGGAGUUGGAGGAGGAACGGUGCUGGACGGGGGCCAAGGUGAGAACGAGGGCCCCUUACCGGCGAGGAGGCCCCGGAUCACUGCGCCGCAGCCCGUGGCCUCCCAACCUGCGACACACAGAUCCCCGAGUCUGCUCCACAGGAUCUUGUCCAAAUGCCGGAAAAAGAGUGAAUGCCGGGGCGCCACCAACGGGGCCUUCGAGGGCGACUAAGAGGCCCCCCUCUUUGUUCACUUCGGUGGGGCUGCGUUGUAUGUUGAAUGUGGGUGAACGGAGGAAUAUCUAAAGUGUGAAAAUACAGGAUCUUAUAUAUCGUCAUGUGGGCCCAUAUUCAUUUCCACUCCAGGUCUUCAGGACUUGGCUGCAUCAGUAGAAGCGAGAGGAUGAAUUGUGAGUGUAUGAACUUAAAUCGAUGAUGUCACACAGGGGGUUUUGCAUUGGUCUUGUGUGACAAGUGUAACAAGGUUUAAUGUACAGAGAGCUGAGCAGCUGCUGUUUUCUUCCCUAUGUUUUCAUCGUGACAAGAUCAAAUGCAGGUUUUAAGUUCAUAAUGGAAAUAUUACUAUAUAUAUAUAUAUAUAUAUAUAUAUAUACACCAAUUAUGGUAAUAAUAACAAAAUAAUCUUAUGACAAAAUAAGAAUUAGUGUCAGUCAAUGAAGCAACGAGAUAUUUAACCGAUCAAAUGUAGCCUUAAGAGGAAUGUUAUUAAUAUUGUCUGUGCACAUUCUGUUCGAUUAUGCAUAUUUAUAUUUAUAUACUAUGUCUGCUCAUUUCUAAACUGUUGAUAUCUGUAUAUUUUCCUGCUUAACAUCAAAUCAUUUUAUAAGUAUAAAACCCACAGACCCUCACAGACUAAGAUCUUUUCAUUUCAGUGUACAUGCCUCAGUAUAUUACCUCAUAAAUUGGCCUCUUUUCUUUUUUCUUCAACCACCCUCGGCCCCG